RNAcentral lists this ribosomal RNA (503 nucleotides) under uncultured bacterium. Its description in RNAcentral is "partial 16S ribosomal RNA". It matches the Rfam family "Bacterial small subunit ribosomal RNA", at positions 29 to 523 of the family's 1533-position model. The record is from RNAcentral.
AUUGAACGCUGGCGGCAGGCCUAACACAUGCAAGUCGAACGGUAGCACAGAGAGCUUGCUCUCGGGUGACGAGUGGCGGACGGGUGAGUAACGUCUGGGAAACUGCCCGAUGGAGGGGGAUAACUACUGGAAACGGUAGCUAAUACCGCAUAACGUCGCAAGACCAAAGUGGGGGACCUUCGGGCCUCACACCAUCGGAUGUGCCCAGAUGGGAUAGCUAGUAGGUGGGGUAAUGGCUCACCUAGGCGACGAUCCCUAGCUGGUCUGAGAGGAUGACCAGCCACACGGGAACUGAGACACGGUCCAGACUCCUACGGGAGGCAGCAGUGGGGAAUAUUGCACAAUGGGCGCAAGCCUGAUGCAGCCAUGCCGCGUGUAUGAAGAAGGCCUUCGGGUUGUAAAGUACUUUCAGCGGGGAGGAAGGCGGUGAAGUUAAUAACUUCACCGAUUGACGUUACCCGCAGAAGAAGCACCGGCUAACUCCGUGCCAGCAGCCGCGGUAA